This 460-nucleotide ribosomal RNA is filed under the name uncultured bacterium. Its description in RNAcentral is "bacterial SSU rRNA". It matches the Rfam family "Bacterial small subunit ribosomal RNA", at positions 1 to 507 of the family's 1533-position model. The record is from RNAcentral.
ACACUGUACGAGUUUGAUCCUGGCUCAGAGCGAACGCUGGCGGCAGGCCUAAUACAUGCAAGUCGAACGGUCUCUUCGGAGGCAGUGGCGGACGGGUGAGUAACGCGUGGGAACGUGCCCUUUGGUACGGAACAACUGAGGGAAACUUCAGCUAAUACCGUAUGUGCCCUUCGGGGGAAAGAUUCAUCGCCAUUGGAGCGGCCCGCGUUGGAUUAGCUAGUUGGUGGGGUAAUGGCCCACCAAGGCGACGAUCCAUAGCUGGUCUGAGAGGAUGAUCAGCCACACUGGGACUGAGACACGGCCCAGACUCCUACGGGAGGCAGCAGUAGGGAAUCUUGCGCAAUGGGCGAAAGCCUGACGCAGCCAUGCCGCGUGAAUGAUGAAGGUCUUAGGAUUGUAAAAUUCUUCACCGGGGACGAUAAUGACGGUACCCGGAGAAGAAGCCCCGGCUAACUUCGUG